Molecule: ribosomal RNA, 585 nt
Filed under: Triticum aestivum (bread wheat)
Lineage: Eukaryota; Viridiplantae; Streptophyta; Magnoliopsida; Poales; Poaceae
Description: partial small subunit ribosomal RNA
Source: RNAcentral
GCGAUUGCGUAGGCGACUUCCUUUUUUUUGUGAGGGCUUGGUAUUUGCUAAGGUCUAGCUACAACUCCCCUUCCCUGAUUAGCUCAGGGCUAGGUCCGACUCCCGCUGCCCUGACGUAGCUAAGGGGAGGUCUUAGCUCGGCGUCUCUCCCCGCCGGCCAAGGUAGAUCAUUUCCACGAACACACGCAGGCAGGUGGACUCCAGACCCUACCCUAGCUCAGCUAGGCUCGCUAUCCUCCUCGCCCUACGUCCUCGGCUCAUGUAGGCCAGCUAGGGUGGUUAGUCUCCUCGCCCUAAUUUACCAUCUGCGGAGUACAUGACCACUACAAGUACGAUGCGGUGCCAACAGAUGACCAAACCUAAACGUAAAAUGUGUCCGCAUACUAAUCAUAUGGUCAUGUUAAUCCUCGAACACGAGUUUUAAGAAUAGGUACAAUUAGGUGCGAACCCAACAUUAAGUACAGAGAAAUAAAAUCUAUCGAUCUAAAGUAACCAAUUUCUGGUAAACCACAUCACAUAACUAGAGAGUAUAGGUAGAAACACCAUCUCCAAGUACUUUAGACAUCUCGUCUACGAAUACGAAGG